UACGUAGGGGGCAAGCGUUGUCCGGAAUUAUUGGGCGUAAAGCGCGUGUAGGCGGCCAGAUAAGUCCGCUGUGAAAUCUCGAGGCUCAACUUCGAGCUGUCGGUGGAAACUGUCUGGCUAGAGUCCGGAAGAGGAGAAUGGAAUUCCUGGUGUAGCGGUGAAAUGCGCAGAUAUCAGGAAGAACACCCGUGGCGAAGGCGGUUCUCUGGGACGGUACUGACGCUGAGACGCGAAAGCGUGGGGAGCGAACAGG
This 253-nucleotide ribosomal RNA is filed under the name uncultured bacterium. Its description in RNAcentral is "partial 16S ribosomal RNA". It matches the Rfam family "Bacterial small subunit ribosomal RNA", at positions 524 to 776 of the family's 1533-position model. The record is from RNAcentral.